GUGGCUGUAGCUCAGUCGGUUAGAGCACCUGGUUGUGGUCCAGGGGGUCGGGGGUUCGAAUCCCCUCAGCCACC
Molecule: transfer RNA, 74 nt
Filed under: Planctomycetaceae bacterium
Lineage: Bacteria; Pseudomonadati; Planctomycetota; Planctomycetia; Planctomycetales; Planctomycetaceae
Description: tRNA-His
Rfam family: tRNA
About the family: Transfer RNA (tRNA) molecules are approximately 80 nucleotides in length.
Source: RNAcentral